UGUUAAAUGCACAUUUUGUAUGCCUGGCUCCCUGUAUGCCAUUUGCAAAGCCCAUCAAGAGUCCGGUGGCCUUCGUGGAUGGCAUGCGAGGAGCCAUGCAUGCAUUCUGCUGUCUUAACG
RNAcentral lists this microRNA precursor (120 nucleotides) under Theobroma cacao (cacao). RNAcentral's name for it is "miR160b stem-loop (tcc-MIR160b)". Its record names the gene tcc-MIR160b. The stretch from base 18 to 103 matches the Rfam family "mir-160 microRNA precursor family". Rfam says of the family: The hairpin precursors (represented here) are predicted based on base pairing and cross-species conservation -- their extents are not known. In this case the mature sequence is excised from the 5' arm of the hairpin. The record is from miRBase by way of RNAcentral. Lineage: Eukaryota; Viridiplantae; Streptophyta; Magnoliopsida; Malvales; Malvaceae.